UUUAACCAAAAUUUAGUGUUAUAUGGGGAACAUAUAGAAAAUAUUUUGACAGGGUUUUAUAACUGUGGUAGAAAUGGGAUCCUAAAAUUCACAUCUCAAUCUUCUGUGACCCUUUUGGAGAAUUUAGGUUGUCACACUGUUAUUUUAUAUAGUUCUGGGAACCUAGAGGGCAGGUCUGUCUCUGCACAGUGUACAUAGACACAUAGUUCAGAUUAAAGAGUGAUAAUGGGGUUGAAGAGUAGAUUUAAGGAUGUUUAAAUCGGGGUUUCUGUCCUGGCUUAGUGGUUAAUGAACCCAACUAGCAUCUGUGAGGACUCCGGUUCAAUUUCUGGCCUCGCUCAGUGGGUUGAGGAUCCGGGGUUGCCAUGAGCUGUGGUGUAGGCUGACAGCUGUAGCUCCCAUUCGACCCCUAGCCUGGGAACUUCCAUAUGUUGCAGGCGUGGCCCUAAAAAGCAAUAAUAAUAAUAAUAAUACAUAUAAAUAAAUAAAUAAAUAUUAUGACUGAAAGCCACUGUUCAGGCUAAGUUAAUCUUCCAGAUCAAGAAAGCUUCAGAUAAUGAGAAUUUUAAAGGUCUUAUAAUUAUUUUGAUAACAAGACCAUUUACUUUUUCUUUCAGAGGUGGCAGUGGCUAAUUCCAGAACAGUUCCUUAUCUCUUGCCAUGUUUCAUUACUUUUCUCCUUAUUUUAAAAAGGCAUUUUUCUCUGUAUUUAGAGAUUGUAAUACCCAGGAGAUCUUCUCACUGGCCUUCCCAGUCUAUGGACCCUAUUUUGAGUGCCCUUUAUAUAUUUAUGUAGUGUCCUUCACAAAGGGCAACAGGAUCAAUUUAAAAAGCUGUGUGUCUUGAAUGGAGUUUUGAAAUCAAGUAUACAGAGAAAUGCUAGAUCGCAUUCUGCCCCAGGUCUUGUUGUGAUUUAAUCACAUUCAUAGGAAACAAUAUUGAUUUCUACGGGCAGCUUGUAAUAAGUUCAGGAAUUGCAAGCCUAAGCAACAUUACUGUGCAACUAAUGAAUAUACAAACAUAAAACACUGUAUGGAUAUGCUUAGAGUUAUGCCAAAAUUCUAAAAAGAUUAAAUUGCUUCAAACUAUACCUCAAAUACUCACAGGCCUAGUGCAAAGACACACAUGGGUUCUAGAAAUAUAUAAACAAUACCUUCCCUUAAGCAAAGUGAUAAAAUCAAAUCUUUUGGAAACUGAUCAAGGACAGCCCAAAACUUAAUUGAAGAAGGUAUGUUUUUAAAAAUGUUUUCAUUGGCUAUACCCCAAUUUAAAAAAUAAAUAAAAUUUUAAAAAUAGAACAAAAAUCUUUAAAAAUAAUAUAGAGAUUACUAUUUUUUUUUGAAGUAAGCAAUGGUUUAAUUUUGAAAUCUGAAUCCUUUGAAAAAUUAAUCUGAGGUCAGAAUGUUUAAAAUCUUUUUUGACCUUUAGCUUGUCCAUCUGCCAGAGCUUUGUCCUAAAACC
RNAcentral lists this long non-coding RNA (1461 nucleotides) under Sus scrofa (pig). RNAcentral describes it as "lncRNA (ENSSSCG00045016944.1)". The record is from RNAcentral. Lineage: Eukaryota; Metazoa; Chordata; Mammalia; Artiodactyla; Suidae.